This 410-nucleotide ribosomal RNA is filed under the name uncultured bacterium. RNAcentral describes it as "bacterial SSU rRNA". It matches the Rfam family "Bacterial small subunit ribosomal RNA", at positions 359 to 785 of the family's 1533-position model. The record is from RNAcentral.
AGGAUUGAAAUGGGCGGAGCCUGAUGCAGCAACGCCGCGUGCGGGAUGACGGCCUUCGGGUUGUAAACCGCUUUCGCCUGUGACGAAGCGUGAGUGACGGUAAUGGGUAAAGAAGCACCGGCUAACUACGUGCCAGCAGCCGCGGUGAUACGUAGGGUGCGAGCGUUGUCCGGAUUUAUUGGGCGUAAAGGGCUCGUAGGUGGUUGAUCGCGUCGGAAGUGUAAUCUUGGGGCUUAACCCUGAGCGUGCUUUCGAUACGGGUUGACUUGAGGAAGGUAGGGGAGAAUGGAAUUCCUGGUGGAGCGGUGGAAUGCGCAGAUAUCAGGAGGAACACCAGUGGCGAAGGCGGUUCUCUGGGCCUUUCCUGACGCUGAGGAGCGAAAGCGUGGGGAGCGAACAGGAUUAGAUAC